GAAAUGCGAUAAGUAGUGUGAAUUGCAGAAUUCAGUGAAUCAUCGAAUCUUUGAACGCACAUUGCGCCCUUUGGUAUUCCUUAGGUCAUGCCUGUUCGAGCGUCAUCUAAACCUUCAAGCCCUGCUUGGUGUUGGGUGCCUGUCCCGCCUCCGCGCGCGGACUCACCUCAAAUCCAUUGGCGGCCCCCGCGUCGGCCACGAGCGCAGCAGAAACGCGAACUCGUGAGCCCGUCCGGGCGGCUCCCAGAAGCUACACCCACCCAGUUUGACCUCGGAUCAGGUAGGGAUACCCGCUGAACUUAAGC
This 305-nucleotide unclassified non-coding RNA is filed under the name plant metagenome. Its description in RNAcentral is "partial contains 5.8S ribosomal RNA, internal transcribed spacer 2, and large subunit ribosomal RNA". The stretch from base 1 to 105 matches the Rfam family "5.8S ribosomal RNA", at positions 50 to 154 of the family's 154-position model. The record is from RNAcentral.